RNAcentral lists this long non-coding RNA (738 nucleotides) under Rhinolophus ferrumequinum (greater horseshoe bat). Its description in RNAcentral is "lncRNA (ENSRFEG00010007404.1)". The stretch from base 325 to 459 matches the Rfam family "CDKN2B antisense RNA 1 convserved region 3". Lineage: Eukaryota; Metazoa; Chordata; Mammalia; Chiroptera; Rhinolophidae. The record is from RNAcentral.
AGAUUGAAAAAUCACAGGAAGAUCAAAGAAGUAAAAUAAUUUGCCCUUCCAAGACCAUGUCAUUGAUGGUGGCUGAAUUUGAACCCAGAUAAGUACAACCCAUGUACUUCCCCACCGGACUGUCUGCCUGCCCCCUCAAGGAUCUGCUAAGGACUUGACUCUCUGUACAGAUAAUUGCUUCAAGAGAGGAAAAAGGCAGGAGGAUCUAUCUGGUACAUAGGUUUAAACUAGGCAUCUGUGCUAAACCUGAAUGGUGGAACUACUAUAUUCUAUGUAUUGAGUAGAGGUAUACCAUAUUCAACGUAUUUCUCCACUUCACACACUGUUCAAGAAUAAACCCCAUUCUGUCUCAGCUGUGGAGAUCAAUGAAAAGACUCUGUCUUCUUGCCGCCAGAUAUGUUACCUGCACUUAGAGAAUUGAAAGUGCAAAUCAAAGGAGUGUUCUUUUGGGAAGAGAGUUUUAGCGGAAAGGUCUGGAUGCUGGUGAACUGAUGAGGAAGCAGCAGUUAUUUCUGAGAUUUAACUUUGACCUGGGCUUUGAAGAGACACCCAUUCACCACUGUUGCAACUGCAUGCUUCCAGGAACUGGAGAGCAGAAGAACUUACAACUUUUGAUGAAUUCAUCAAGCAAAAGGUGUUUGCAGUUCCUGGAAGACAUGCUAACAAAUAAUGAAACACAUGUAAAAGGACAUCAAUAGCAAGGACUAUUCCUGAUUUCCAGCUCUGAUGUGCAUUUCA